CCUGUCUCAAAGGAAGAAAGAAAGAAAGAAAGAAAGAAAGAAAGAAAGAAAGAAAGAAAGAAAGAAAGAAAGGAAGGAAGGAAGGAAGGAAGGAAGGAAGGAAGAAAGAAAGAAAAGGAAACAGAGUCGAAUCAUGAGGCAGAGACCGUUUGAGGCCAGCCUGAUCUACAGAGCAAGUUCCUGGACAGGCUCCAAAGCUACAGAGAAACCCUGUCUCAAAAAAGCAAAACAAAACAAAACAAAAAACCUCGGGAGGCAGAUACUGAGGUAAAAACCUGAUUGAUCGAAGAAGUAGAGGAGAAGCGACCAAUGACCCCCUCUCCUUCCCCAAUCUAAAAGGGCUGCAAUUCUUUCAAGCUCCUCCCUACUACUUCCUAUGUCUCUCUAUAUGUAUCCUGGAGCCUCCAAAAUCUCUAUGUCUAAUUCUGAUCAGCCAGUUUCUAACUCUGCCCCUGAAUCAAAUUUAAACUUUAAUGGUAGUCUCAGAGUGUCAGUAUGAGCAAAUAUCCUGCAAUAUUUCCCCUUCUUUUGUCUAAAUAAAAAGGAAAGGUUUUAACUCUAACAUAGUAAAACUAUAUACAAUAAGAACAAUUG
RNAcentral lists this long non-coding RNA (594 nucleotides) under Cricetulus griseus (Chinese hamster). Its description in RNAcentral is "lncRNA (ENSCGRG00015031989.1)". The record is from RNAcentral. Lineage: Eukaryota; Metazoa; Chordata; Mammalia; Rodentia; Cricetidae.